Molecule: non-coding RNA, 355 nt
Organism: Pantherophis guttatus
Lineage: Eukaryota; Metazoa; Chordata; Lepidosauria; Squamata; Colubridae
Source: RefSeq, a predicted model, not a curated record
CCUACCACAAGAGGAAGGGGUGGAAGUCUUUAUCAGUAACCCCUAGUUCUCAACCAGGCAGUGCAUCUAAAAGAUUUCUGUUAAUCCAGAAAAAUAACUGUGAGAUAAAUUGAGUUGAAAGGGAGAUGACUAUCCCAAGAUCACCCAGAGUGCUUUUGGGGCUGAGAAUGAACUAGAAGCUGAAUUUUGCCGAUUCUAAUCUAAGCGCUUCACCGUUACAGUACACUAGUUUGUGGUCCUGCAUGUUACGUGAACCAUCCAGUCAUGGUUCAUUAAGAAAUUGUUGUUAAAGAUACAUCUUAGCAAAAUGUUUUUAAAGACUUCAGAACAGGAUUAAAUUUUUCCUUUGAAUUAA